Molecule: ribosomal RNA, 239 nt
Filed under: Enterococcus faecium
Lineage: Bacteria; Bacillati; Bacillota; Bacilli; Lactobacillales; Enterococcaceae
Description: partial 16S ribosomal RNA
Rfam family: Bacterial small subunit ribosomal RNA
Source: RNAcentral
GAUUGCAGGCUGCAACUCGCCUGCAUGAAGCCGGAAUCGCUAGUAAUCGCGGAUCAGCACGCCGCGGUGAAUACGUUCCCGGGCCUUGUACACACCGCCCGUCACACCACGAGAGUUUGUAACACCCGAAGUCGGUGAGGUAACCUUUUUGGAGCCAGCCGCCUAAGGUGGGAUAGAUGAUUGGGGUGAAGUCGUAACAAGGUAGCCGUAUCGGAAGGUGCGGCUGGAUCACCUCCUUU